CUGGAGGGCACCACAUUGGUUACCCUUGCUUUAAGGAUCCUCCACCUUGUGCUGACUUAGAAGAAGUCUCCAGUCAUCAUCUCCUUUUGCAGUGGGGUCAUCUGUGCUUUCCGAGUUGGUGAUGAUAAGAGAGAUGAAAGCUUCCGUUGCUCCAAGAACGUUUUUUGCUUUGCAUAUAUAUUCUCCAGAAUCAAGAAUCCGUUAGGGACACCACGAGGCAUGAAACAGCCAUAGCUGCACAUGCAGCCAGAAAAGGAGAACCUACCUGUCCCAUUGAGAGGGUUUCCAUCAGCCCUCCUCCAGUUUAGCUCGGGAAUAGGCACCCCAGUGGUGCCACAGCGCAGCAGGACAGUGCUUCCCAGCAUGGUCCUCACUU
Long non-coding RNA from Rhineura floridana, 376 nucleotides. RefSeq lists it as uncharacterized. Lineage: Eukaryota; Metazoa; Chordata; Lepidosauria; Squamata; Rhineuridae. The transcript is spliced from 3 exons. The record is from RefSeq and is a predicted model, not a curated record.